AAUUAUCCCUGAUAGGAUAUGCAGGUAGCAACGGACCAGUCCUGGCCGAACACGCAUGGAAACGUACUCCAUUCGAAACGUUUAUUUCACAGCCAAGCUUAAUUUAAUGGAGGGGGGGAGAUGUAACGUAUUUUCUUGUCGCGAUAUUAUAUUCCUGUCCGACCCACGUUGAACGAGGAAUUUGCUCGUUCCGCGUGCAUCCGAACUCGAUGCACGUCCGACGUAUCGUUGUCGUCGGUCUUGCCACCGUCACCUGUCGCAAAUUGUCGAGGAAGCGAUAAGAAAAACGAUUACUGCUUUAACCUUCCGUCGUUCGCGAGUGUUUUUAAGCAUAUGUGUGAAGUGACUAGUGACUAAAAUUCCAUCCUUCCUCACGGCGGAUCCAGAGGUUACCAUUAACUAGACCUUGUACCGGAUACACCCAACAUCGAGCAUUUCCAGGAAAUCCUUUCACACGCUUGACGAAAAGAGCGAUUCAAGUUUUCUAUAGCGCUUUACCAACUGAAUUUUUGCGGUACCUUUCCUCGCAAAAGUGGCCAUCAUUAAUAACUGACCGAGAAAAAAAUCAGCGUUCUACUUUCAUUUCGUUGUAAUAUUAAAAAUUAACAAUUCUUUUAACUCCUGAAAUAAUAAUUUGUAAUUUUUAAACAAGAAGAGAAUUAUCAAAAUAUUCGAUCCGAUUUCAGUUUCGUUCAAAUUUUUCAAAUAAAAAUUGAAUGACUUCAAGAAAACACGUUUUUAUAUUAUUGGAUGAUAAACAUCAAAUUUAUAUUUAUUAUAAAUAAGUAUAAUCUUCUUGUUAUUAAAAAUAUAUUAAUUUCAAUUUGAAUUUUGUAAAACUUUUUACAUUUAAUUUUCACGUAAUAGCACAAUAUUUUUUUUUUUUUAUAUAAAAUGUAACAAUAAAAUAAUUAAACUU
Molecule: long non-coding RNA, 919 nt
Organism: Apis cerana (Asiatic honeybee)
Lineage: Eukaryota; Metazoa; Arthropoda; Insecta; Hymenoptera; Apidae
Source: RefSeq, a predicted model, not a curated record